UACGAAGGGAGCUAGCGUUGUUCGGAAUCACUGGGCGUAAAGCGCACGUAGGCGGCUGUGUCAGUCAGGGGUGAAAUCCCGGAGCUCAACUUCGGAACUGCCUUUGAUACAGCACGUCUUGAGUCCGGAAGAGGUGGGUGGAAUUCCUAGUGUAGAGGUGAAAUUCGUAGAUAUUAGGAGGAACACCGGUGGCGAAGGCGGCCCACUGGUCCGGUACUGACGCUGAGGUGCGAAAGCGUGGGGAGCAAACAGG
This 253-nucleotide ribosomal RNA is filed under the name uncultured bacterium. RNAcentral describes it as "partial 16S ribosomal RNA". It matches the Rfam family "Bacterial small subunit ribosomal RNA", at positions 524 to 776 of the family's 1533-position model. The record is from RNAcentral.